RNAcentral lists this long non-coding RNA (217 nucleotides) under Lathyrus oleraceus (garden pea). RNAcentral's name for it is "Pisum sativum (pea) long non-coding RNA (PSAT_LNC002997)". The record is from RNAcentral. Lineage: Eukaryota; Viridiplantae; Streptophyta; Magnoliopsida; Fabales; Fabaceae.
UUUUAUGCAUGAGUUGUCUUGAUAUAUUUUACUCGUGUAAGUUUAUGUCGUAAAUUCCUUUGUCUGGCCAACUUGAGAGAAAUACAAGUUGGUUAAUGAUUGAGAAAUCUAUUAACUAGUGGAACUCAUACGUAAAUAUGGAUAGACGUAUUCACUAUAUUAGUCACUUAACUUAAUGCAUAUGGGAAACAGGAAGUUAAACUAGGCAUGAUUUAAU